UUCGCUUCUCGGCCUUUUGGCUAAGAUCAAGUGUAGUAUCUGUUCUUAUCAGUUUAAUAUCUGAUAUGCCCUCUAUCUGAGGACUCUAUAUUAAAUGGAUUUUUGGAACUGGGAAAUUUUUCUAAGGAUGGGAAAUUUUGAGAAAGGAGAUUCUAGAGGCACAAUCUUUAACAAUUC
Molecule: small nuclear RNA, 177 nt
Filed under: Salvator merianae (Argentine black and white tegu)
Lineage: Eukaryota; Metazoa; Chordata; Lepidosauria; Squamata; Teiidae
Description: U2 spliceosomal RNA (ENSSMRG00000010955.1)
Rfam family: U2 spliceosomal RNA
About the family: U2 is a small nuclear RNA (snRNA) component of the spliceosome (involved in pre-mRNA splicing).
Source: Rfam by way of RNAcentral